RNAcentral lists this ribosomal RNA (459 nucleotides) under uncultured bacterium. RNAcentral describes it as "partial 16S ribosomal RNA". It matches the Rfam family "Bacterial small subunit ribosomal RNA", at positions 338 to 795 of the family's 1533-position model. The record is from RNAcentral.
CCUACGGGAGGCAGCAGUGAGGACUAUUGGUCAAUGGGCUGAGGACUGAACCAGCCAAGUCGCGUGAGGGAAGACGGUCCUAUGGAUUGUCAGCCUCUUUUUUCGGGGAGCAACGAGGCCACGUGUGGCCGAAGUGAGAGUACCCGCAGAAAAAGCAUCGGCUAACUCCGUGCCAGCAGCCGCGGUAAUCCGGAGGAUGCGAGCGUUAUCCGGUUUUAUUGGGUUUAAAGGGUGCGUAGGCGGAACAUUAAGUAAGCGGUAAAAUCGAGGGGCUCAACCCCUUUAAGCUGUUGAAACUGGUGAUCUUGAGUGGGCGAGAAGUAUGCGGAAUGCGUGGUGUAGCGGUGAAAUGCAUAGAUAUCACGAAGAACUCCGAGUGCGAAGGCAGCAUACCGGCGCCCGACUGACGCUGAGGCACGAAAGCGUGGGGAUCGAACAGGAGUAGAUACCCUUGUAGUC